This 1342-nucleotide long non-coding RNA is filed under the name Danio rerio (zebrafish). RNAcentral's name for it is "lncRNA (ENSDARG00000117401.1)". Lineage: Eukaryota; Metazoa; Chordata; Actinopteri; Cypriniformes; Danionidae. The record is from RNAcentral.
AUUCAGAUACACCAUUGACAUGAAAAUCAAUGCUUCAAGAGAGGCUGUGAUUGACAGUUUGAGGACAUUGACCCAUGGACAAACAUUCUCAAAGUGUGUCAAGAAAGAAAUUAAAAUCCCCAGUACAAAAAUCACCACAGGUGAGAAAAGGAUGAGAUUUAAAAAUUAUUUUUACAUGUGUUCUCGAUUCUUUUAAUAACUUUUUAAAAAUUGCAGUGUGUCUAUCAUCUUUGAAUAAAACUGAGUGCACUUGUGAGAAUCAGUACAUCUGGUCCUCUGAACAAUGCUCUAAACAAGGCGUUUGUGGCCCGAGUCAGAAUAUUACAUGUGGAUGCAUCACUUCUCUUCCAACUGAUGGGUCAUUUUGUCGGCCACCAUCAGGUACAAUAAACUUUUUUUUUCAUUUUGAGAUGGUUUCUGAACAGAUAAUUAUUUUUGUUACAUUUUUUCAGCUUACAUGAAGUCAUUUAGAUACACCAUUGACAUAAAAGUUAAUGCUUCAAAUAAAGCUGUGAUCGACCGUUUGAGGGCGAUGAUCAGUGGACAGAAAUUCCCAAUGUGUGUCAAGAAAGGCAUGAAAAUCUCCAGUACAAACAUCACAACAGUGUGUGUCUCAAAUAUGAGCGAAACUGAGUGCAGCUGUGAGAAUCAGUACAUCUGGUCCUCUGAACAAUGCUCUAAACAUGGCGCUUGUGGUUCGAGUCAAAAUAACAAAUGUGGAUGCAUCAAUUCUCUUCCAACUGAUGGGACAAACUGCCAUCCACCACCAAGUACAAUAAACUCUUCUCAUUUAAUUUCAAAAUGAAGUUGACAGUUGGCUUGAUUGUGACAUGAUAUAGUUUCUAAACAGAUAAUUAUUUUCAUUUUGUUAUAUUUUUUAGCUCCUUUAAAGUCCUUCAGAUACACCAUUGACAUAAAAGUUAAUGCUUCAAAUAAAGCUGUGAUCAACCGUUUGAGGGCGAUGAUCAGUGAACAGAAAUUCCCAAUGUGUGUCAAGAAAGGCAUGAAAAUAUCCAGUACAAACAUCACUACAGUGUGUCUCUCAAAUUCAAGCAUGACUCAAAACAAUACAUGUAGAUGCAUCACUUCUAUUCCAACUAAUGGGAUUUUCUGUCAGCCACCAAGAGCACAACUUAAGUCAUUCAGAUACACCAUCGACAUAAAAAUCAAUGCUUCAAGAGGUUUUGGGGUGGACUGUUUGAAGGUAUUGAUUAAUGGACAAAAAUUCCCAAUGUGUGUCAGGAAAGGCAUGAAAAUCUCCAGUGCAAACAUCACAACAGGUGAGAGAAUAAUGAGAAGAGUAAUGACAUUCUGUUUAUAUUCAUCUGACAAACUAUUUUAA